RNAcentral lists this ribosomal RNA (253 nucleotides) under uncultured bacterium. RNAcentral describes it as "partial 16S ribosomal RNA". It matches the Rfam family "Bacterial small subunit ribosomal RNA", at positions 524 to 776 of the family's 1533-position model. The record is from RNAcentral.
UACGAAGGGGGCUAGCGUUGUUCGGAAUUACUGGGCGUAAAGCGUGCGCAGGCGGUUUUGUAAGCCGGAUGUGAAAUCCCCGGGCUUAACCUGGGAAUGGCAUUCGGGACUGCAAGGCUGGAGUGCGGCAGAGGAGACUGGAAUUCCUGGUGUAGCAGUGAAAUGCGUAGAUAUCAGGAGGAGCACCGAUGGCGAAGGCAGGUCUCUGGGCUGACACUGACGCUCAUGCACGAAAGCGUGGGGAGCAAACAGG